Long non-coding RNA from Magallana angulata, 934 nucleotides. RefSeq lists it as uncharacterized. Lineage: Eukaryota; Metazoa; Mollusca; Bivalvia; Ostreida; Ostreidae. The record is from RefSeq and is a predicted model, not a curated record. The transcript is spliced from 3 exons.
GUGGCCGUUCCGGCCUUUGAUUUUAACUUUUAGGACCACCAUACAUGCCGAUGCCUCCACAAACGGUUGUUGCUGAUCCUGCCGACAAUUUGACGUUAUCCUUGAGCUCGAUAUCCUUUCCAGCUCCAUUUAGUUUAGUUUUGGUUAGAAACCAAAAUUAUGAAAUAAUUCAUCGCAGCAGUGUUUCCUUUGCUCCAGCCGAAGUAAAACUUUCUGCUUUCGGAAGGAUAGUAAAACUUUAUGGUUACAGUUGUCGAUUAAAUAUGCCAAAUAUUACAAGAGAGUGGUUCGGUACCAACAGCAUCAUAGUGUUCAACCGCCUGGGGAAUUAUUCACUUUCUUUCAUUGUGGAAGAGUUUUCGGACAAGGAAAAUUCCAUUGUAAAUACAAUUCUGCUUGUUGUGGCUACCACCUGUGGAUCGAUUCUUGCUGUAGCCACCGUUUUGAUAAUGUUAUUUAUUUAUUUGGAUAUCAGGAAGAAAAGUAACUUAAUUUAAUUAAGCAUACUAUACUUCUAUAAAGUGUAUAUAAUGUAAUCCAAUGUGUUACGGCUUCUAUAAACAGAAAUGCGAUUUCACAUGUUCCUUUUCUUUAUUAGUUUUUAACAUAUUAACGUUUGUUUUAUCUUUAGAAAACAACCGGUAAGUAUAUAAUUAUGUACUAAAUGUAUAGUAAUAUUCGUCAACUUUUUAUUGUAUAUUUCGCAUUAGCAUAUCUAUCUUUUAAACAUCUUUGAAAUACUUUUUGAAAAGUUUACAAGAUAGCGCAGCAGAAGGUAAUCGAAAUCAACAUACCUACGUUCAGACUUUCUCCUUUGAAAGUAAUGGACAAAAUGAAGAUUAUACUUCUCUACGAAAGAAUGAACAUAUGUGAUAUGUAUUGCAAACAUGAGCAUCACCUCUCUCUCUCUCUCUCUCUCUCUCUCUCUCUCUCU